UACAGAGGGUGCGAGCGUUAAUCGGAAUUACUGGGCGUAAAGCGUGCGUAGACGGUCAAGUAAGUCGGGUGUGAAAGCCCCGGGCUCAACCUGGGAAUUGCAUUCGAGACUGCGUGGCUAGGGUGCGGAAGAGGGAAGCGGAAUUUCCGGUGUAGCGGUGAAAUGCGUAGAUAUCAGGAGGAACACCGAUGGCGAAGGCAGGUCUCUGGGCUGACACUGACGCUCAUGCACGAAAGCGUGGGGAGC
This 246-nucleotide ribosomal RNA is filed under the name uncultured bacterium. Its description in RNAcentral is "partial 16S ribosomal RNA". It matches the Rfam family "Bacterial small subunit ribosomal RNA", at positions 524 to 769 of the family's 1533-position model. The record is from RNAcentral.